RNAcentral lists this ribosomal RNA (805 nucleotides) under uncultured bacterium. RNAcentral describes it as "bacterial SSU rRNA". It matches the Rfam family "Bacterial small subunit ribosomal RNA", at positions 135 to 942 of the family's 1533-position model. The record is from RNAcentral.
ACAGGGGGAUAGCCCGGAGAAAUCUGGAUUAAUACCCCAUGGUACAUAUUGAUGGCAUCAGAGAUAUGUUAAAGAUUCAUCGGUAUAAGAUGGGCAUGCGUCUGAUUAGCUAGUUGGCGGUGUAACGGACCACCAAGGCGACGAUCAGUAGGGGUUCUGAGAGGAAGGUCCCCCACACUGGCACUGAGAUACGGGCCAGACUCCUACGGGAGGCAGCAGUAGGGAAUAUUGGGCAAUGGUCGGAAGACUGACCCAGCCAUGCCGCGUGCAGGAAGACGGCCCUCUGGGUUGUAAACUGCUUUUAUCUGGGAAGGAAAAGGCCAUGCGUGGCAAAUUGCCGGUACCAGAUGAAUAAGCACCGGCUAACUCCGUGCCAGCAGCCGCGGUAAUACGGAGGGUGCGAGCGUUGUCCGGAUUUAUUGGGUUUAAAGGGUGCGUAGGCGGCUGAUUAAGUCAGCGGUGAAAGACUUCGGCUUAACCGGAGCAGUGCCGUUGAUACUGGUUGGCUUGAGUGUCGGAGGGGUACAUGGAACUGAUGGUGUAGCGGUGAAAUGCAUAGAUACCAUCAGGAACACCGAUAGCGAAGGCAUUGUACUGGCCGACAACUGACGCUGAUGCACGAAAGUGUGGGGAUCGAACAGGAUUAGAUACCCUGGUAGUCCACACCGUAAACGAUGAUUACUCGCUGUUAUGGUGUAUGCUGUAGUGGCCAAGCGAAAGCGUUGAGUAAUCCACCUGGGGAGUACGCCGGCAACGGUGAAACUCAAAGGAAUUGACGGGGGUCCGCACAAGCGGUGGAGCAUGU